AGAGUUUGAUCCUGGCUCAGGAUGAACGCUGGCGGCGUGCUUAACACAUGCAAGUCGAACGAUCCUUCGGGAUAGUGGCGGACGGGUGAGUAACGCGUGGGAAUCUGCCCUCAGGAAGGGGAUAACGGCUGGAAACGGCCGCUAAUACCCCAUAUGCCGAGAGGUGAAAUGAAUUUCGCCUGAGGAUGAGCCCGCGUCUGAUUAGCUAGUUGGUGGGGUAAAGGCCUACCAAGGCAACGAUCAGUAGCUGGUCUGAGAGGAUGAUCAGCCACACUGGGACUGAGACACGGCCCAGACUCCUACGGGAGGCAGCAGUGGGGAAUUUUCCGCAAUGGGCGAAAGCCUGACGGAGCAACGCCGCGUGAGGGAUGAAGGCCUCUGGGCUGUAAACCUCUUUUCUCAAGGAAGAAGACCUGACGGUACUUGAGGAAUAAGCCACGGCUAAUUCCGUGCCAGCAGCCGCGGUAAUACGGGAGUGGCAAGCGUUAUCCGGAAUUAUUGGGCGUAAAGCGUCCGCAGGCGGCCUUGUAAGUCUGUUGUUAAAGCGUGGAGCUCAACUCCAUUUAAGCAAUGGAAACUACAAGGCUGGAGUGUGGUAGGGGCAGAGGGAAUUCCCGGUGUAGCGGUGAAAUGCGUAGAUAUCGGGAAGAACACCAGUGGCGAAGGCGCUCUGCUGGGCCAUAACUGACGCUCAUGGACGAAAGCCAGGGGAGCGAAAGGGAUUAGAUACCCCUGUAGUCCUGGCCGUAAACGAUGAACACUAGGUGUCGGGGGAAUCGACCCCCUCGGUGUCGUAGCCAACGCGUUAAGUGUUCCGCCUGGGGAGUACGCACGCAAGUGUGAAACUCAAAGGAAUUGACGGGGGCCCGCACAAGCGGUGGAGUAUGUGGUUUAAUUCGAUGCAACGCGAAGAACCUUACCAGGGUUUGACAUCCUGCGAACCCCUGAGAAAUCGGGGGGUGCCUUCGGGAGCGCAGAGACAGGUGGUGCAUGGCUGUCGUCAGCUCGUGUCGUGAGAUGUUGGGUUAAGUCCCGCAACGAGCGCAACCCACGUCUUUAGUUGCCAGCAUUCAGUUGGGCACUCUAGAGAGACCGCCGGUGAUAAACCGGAGGAAGGUGUGGAUGACGUCAAGUCAUCAUGCCCCUUACAUCCUGGGCUACACACGUACUACAAUGCUACGGACAAAGGGCAGCAAGCUCGCGAGAGUUAGCAAAUCCCAUAAACCGUGGCUCAGUUCAGAUCGUAGGCUGCAACUCGCCUACGUGAAGGAGGAAUCGCUAGUAAUCGCAGGUCAGCAUACUGCGGUGAAUACGUUCCCGGGCCUUGUACACACCGCCCGUCACACCAUGGAAGUUGGCCAUGCCCGAAGUCGUUACUCCAACCCUUGUGGAGGAGGACGCCGAAGGUGGGGCUGAUGACUGGGGUGAAGUCGCAACAAGGUA
Molecule: ribosomal RNA, 1443 nt
Filed under: metagenome
Description: bacterial SSU rRNA
Rfam family: Bacterial small subunit ribosomal RNA
Source: RNAcentral